GUGGGGAAUAUUGGACAAUGGGCGAAAGCCUGAUCCAGCCAUUCCGCGUGCAGGAUGAAGGCCUUCGGGUUGUAAACUGCUUUUGUACGGAACGAAAAGCCUCUGGUUAAUACCCGGGGGUCAUGACGGUACCGUAAGAAUAAGCACCGGCUAACUACGUGCCAGCAGCCGCGGUAAUACGUAGGGUGCGAGCGUUAAUCGGAAUUACUGGGCGUAAAGCGUGCGCAGGCGGUGAUGUAAGGCAGUUGUGAAUUCCCCGGGCUCAACCUUGGAACUGCAUCUGUGACUGCAUUGCUGGAGUGCGGCAGAGGGGGAUGGAAUUCCGCGUGUAGCAGUGAAAUGCGUAGAUAUGCGGAGGAACACCGAUGGCGAAGGCAAUCCCCUGGGCCUGCACUGACGCUCAUGCACGAAAGCGUGGGGAGCAAACAGGAUUAGAUACCCCAGUAGUCC
This 450-nucleotide ribosomal RNA is filed under the name uncultured bacterium. RNAcentral describes it as "partial 16S ribosomal RNA". It matches the Rfam family "Bacterial small subunit ribosomal RNA", at positions 354 to 796 of the family's 1533-position model. The record is from RNAcentral.